AGUGAACGCUGGCGGCGUGCUUAACACAUGCAAGUCGAACGAGAACGGAAUAUAGCUUGCUAUAUUUGUCAGCUAAGUGGCGCACGGGUGAGUAAUGUAUAGAUAACCUGCCCUUAAGAAAGGAAUAACAGUUGGAAACGACUGCUAAUGCCCCAUAUGCCUUUAAUACAUAAGUAUGCAAGGGAAACGCUUUAGUGCUUAAGGAUGGGUCUGUAUGGUAUCAGCUUGUUGGUGAGGUAAUGGCUCACCAAGGCUAUGACGCCUAACUGGUUUGAGAGGAUGAUCAGUCACACUGGAACUGAGACACGGUCCAGACUCCUACGGGAGGCAGCAGUGGGGAGUAAUGCACAAUGGACGAAAGUCUGAUGCAGCAACGCCGCGUGGAGGAUGACACGUUUCGGUGCGUAAACUCCUUUUAUAUAGGAAGAUAAUGACGGUACUAUAUGAAUAAGCACCGGCUAACUCCGUGCCAGCCACCGCCGUAA
Molecule: ribosomal RNA, 485 nt
Filed under: uncultured bacterium
Lineage: Bacteria
Description: partial 16S ribosomal RNA
Rfam family: Bacterial small subunit ribosomal RNA
Source: RNAcentral